This 206-nucleotide microRNA precursor is filed under the name Oryza brachyantha (malo sina). RNAcentral's name for it is "MIR812 microRNA precursor family". It matches the Rfam family "MIR812 microRNA precursor family". The record is from Rfam by way of RNAcentral. Lineage: Eukaryota; Viridiplantae; Streptophyta; Magnoliopsida; Poales; Poaceae.
AAUAAACCAAUCUUUCACUUUUUAACUAUAAUAUUUGACGCUUUAUCUUAUUAAAAAAAUUUUACAAUUAAUAUUUUUGUUUUUAUUAGAUGAUAAAUCAUAAAUAGUACUUUAUGUGUGACUAAUUUUUUUUCAAUUUCAUGAAAGUUUUUCAAAUAAGACGGAUGGUCAAACGCCGGACAGAGAUAAUCAAAAAUUGGUUUAUU